UACAGAGGGGGCGAGCGUUGUUCGGAAUCACUGGGCGUAAAGCGCACGUAGGCGGACUUUCAAGUCAGGGGUGAAAUCCCGGGGCUCAACCUCGGAAUUGCCUUUGAUACUGUAGGUCUCGAGUCCGGAAGAGGUGGGUGGAAUUCCUAGUGUAGAGGUGAAAUUCGUAGAUAUUAGGAAGAACACCGGUGGCGAAGGCGGCCCACUGGUCCGGUACUGACGCUGAGGUGCGAAAGCGUGGGGAGCAAACAGG
This 253-nucleotide ribosomal RNA is filed under the name uncultured bacterium. RNAcentral's name for it is "partial 16S ribosomal RNA". It matches the Rfam family "Bacterial small subunit ribosomal RNA", at positions 524 to 776 of the family's 1533-position model. The record is from RNAcentral.